This 432-nucleotide ribosomal RNA is filed under the name uncultured bacterium. RNAcentral's name for it is "bacterial SSU rRNA". It matches the Rfam family "Bacterial small subunit ribosomal RNA", at positions 918 to 1344 of the family's 1533-position model. The record is from RNAcentral.
GGCCCGCACAAGCGGUGGAGUAUGUGGUUUAAUUCGACGCAACGCGCAGAACCUUACCCAGGCUUGACAUCCUCGGAACCUGAUGGAAACAUCGGGGUGUCCCCUCACGGGGAAGCCGAGUGACAGGUGCUGCAUGGCUGUCGUCAGCUCGUGUCGUGAGAUGUUCGGUUAAGUCCGGCAACGAGCGCAACCCCUGUCGUUAGUUGCCAUCAAUUCGGUUGGGCACUCUAGCGAGACUCCCGGUGUUAAGCCGGCGGAAGAUGGGGAUGACGUCAAGUCCUCAUGGCCCUUAUGUCUGGGGCUACACACGUACUACAAUGGCAUUUACAGAGGGCAGCAAUACGGCAACGUGGAGCCAAUCCCAAAAAGAAUGCCUCAGUUCGGAUUGGAGUCUGCAACUCGACUCCAUGAAGUUGGAAUCGCUAGUAAUCG